UGAGUUUAAUUGAAUUAGUACUAUACUGCCGUCCUAAAGCUAAAGUGUCGUUAACUACCAAAACGAAGUUUCGAGAUAUGAUCAAAAAAGCGCAAAUUUAUAAAGAAAUGAUGCCAUUUGAUAACUAAUAAACGUAUACAAAACUUGAAACUAUAGAAAUGUAGAGCAAACAGAGCACUUUCGAAUAGCUGUAUUUUUAAGUUUCUAGAGUAAAUAAUAAUUAUAGCAGGAGAGUUUUGGCUUUUUAGUCUAGCAUUUUUUCUAACAACGGCUUAUGUUUACAUAACUUAAAUGUCGUUAGAUUACCCUUUAAGACGUUUAUGGCUUGGAUUGCAUUUACUUUUUUUAUCUUU
Long non-coding RNA from Maniola jurtina (meadow brown), 353 nucleotides. RefSeq lists it as uncharacterized. The record is from RefSeq and is a predicted model, not a curated record. The transcript has 3 exons. NCBI's taxonomy places the organism in Eukaryota, Metazoa, Arthropoda, Insecta, Lepidoptera, Nymphalidae.